AUACGGAGGGAGCAAGCGUUAUUCGGAAUCACUGGGCGUAAAGGACGCGUAGGCGGGUUUGUAAGUCAGGUGUGAAAUCCUACAGCUCAACUGUAGAACUGCACUUGAAACUACGGACCUAGAGUAUGGAAGGGGCAGAUGGAAUUAGUGGUGUAGGGGUAAAAUCCGUAGAUAUCACUAGGAAUACCGAAAGCGAAGGCGAUCUGCUGGGACAUUACUGACGCUGAGGCGUGAAAGCGUGGGGAGCAAACAGGAUUAGAAACCCCUGUAGUCC
This 274-nucleotide ribosomal RNA is filed under the name uncultured bacterium. Its description in RNAcentral is "partial 16S ribosomal RNA". It matches the Rfam family "Bacterial small subunit ribosomal RNA", at positions 523 to 796 of the family's 1533-position model. The record is from RNAcentral.